This 468-nucleotide ribosomal RNA is filed under the name uncultured bacterium. RNAcentral's name for it is "partial 16S ribosomal RNA". It matches the Rfam family "Bacterial small subunit ribosomal RNA", at positions 28 to 507 of the family's 1533-position model. The record is from RNAcentral.
GACGAACGCUGGCGGCGUGCUUAACACAUGCAAGUCGAACGGAAAGGCCCUGCUUUUGUGGGGUGCUCGAGUGGCGAACGAGUGAGUAACACGUGAGUAACCUGCCCUUGACUUUGGGAUAACUUCAGGAAACUGGGGCUAAUACCGGAUAGGAGCUCCUGCUGCAUGGUGGGGGUUGGAAAGUUUCGGCGGUUGGGGUUGGACUCGCGGCUUAUCAGCUUGUUGGCGGGGUAGUGGCUUACCAAGGCUUUGACGGGUAGCCGGCCUGAGAGGGUGACCGGCCACAUUGGGACUGUGAUACGGCCCCGACUCCUGCGGGAUGCAGCAGUGGGGAAUAUUGCACAAUGGGCGGAUUCCUGAUGCAGCAUCGCCGCGUGCGGGAUGACGGCCUUCGGGUUGUAAACCGCUUUCGUCUGUGACUAAGCGUGAGUGACGGUAAUGGGUAAAGAAGCACCGGCUAACUACGUG